CCUACAGGGGGCAGCAGUGGGGAAUAUUGGACAAUGGGGGCAACCCUGAUCCAGCCAUGCCGCGUGUGUGAAGAAGGCCCUCGGGUUGUAAAGCACUUUCAGUGAGGAAGAACGCCUGGUGGUUAAUACCCAUCAGGAAAGACAUCACUCACAGAAGAAGCACCGGCUAACUCCGUGCCAGCAGCCGCGGUAAUACGGAGGGUGCGAGCGUUAAUCGGAAUUACUGGGCGUAAAGCGCGCGUAGGUGGCUUGAUAAGCCGGUUGUGAAAGCCCCGGGCUCAACCUGGGAACGGCAUCCGGAACUGUCAAGCUAGAGUGCAGGAGAGGAAGGUAGAAUUCCCGGUGUAGCGGUGAAAUGCGUAGAGAUCGGGAGGAAUACCAGUGGCGAAGGCGGCCUUCUGGACUGACACUGACACUGAGGUGCGAAAGCGUGGGUAGCAAACAGGAUUAGAUACCCUUGUAGUC
Molecule: ribosomal RNA, 465 nt
Filed under: Vreelandella stevensii
Lineage: Bacteria; Pseudomonadati; Pseudomonadota; Gammaproteobacteria; Oceanospirillales; Halomonadaceae
Description: partial 16S ribosomal RNA
Rfam family: Bacterial small subunit ribosomal RNA
Source: RNAcentral